AUGGUAGGAUAGAGGCCUACCAUGGUGGUAACGGGUAACGGGGUGUUAGGGCACGACACCGGAGAGGGAGCCUGAGAAACGGCUACCACAUCCAAGGAAGGCAGCAGGCGCGCAAAUUACCCAAUCCCGACACGGGGAGGUAGUGACAAUAGAUAACAAUACAGGGCUCUUUUGGGUCUUGUAAUUGGAAUGAGUACAAUUUAAAUCUCUUAACGAGGAACAAUUGGAGGGCAAGUCUGGUGCCAGCAGCCGCGGUAAUUCCAGCUCCAAUAGCGUAUAUUAAAGUUGUUGCAGUUAAAAAGCUCGUAGUUGAAUUUCGGGAUCAAUAUGUCGGUCGUGCUUCGGUACGUACUGGUAUCAUUGGUUUCUCCUUUCUGACGAACCAUGAUGUCAUUAAUUUGGUGUUAUGGGGAGUUAGGACUGUUACUUUGAAAAAAUUAGAGUGUUUAAAGCAGGCUUUAGCUUGAAUACAUUAGCAUGGAAUAAUGAAAUAGGACGUUCGAACCUAUUUUGUUGGUUUCUAGGAUCAACGUAAUGAUUAAUAGGGAUAGUUGGGGGCAUUAGUAUUCAAUUGUCAGAGGUGAAAUUCUUGGAUUUAUUGAAGACUAACUACUGCGAAAGCAUUUGCCAAGGAUGUUUUCAUUAAUCAAGAACGAAAGUUAGGGGAUCGAAGACGAUCAGAUACCGUCGUAGUCUUAACCAUAAACUAUGCCGACUAGGGAUCGGAUGAUGUUAAUUUUUUAAUGACUCAUUCGGCGCCUUACGGGAAACCAAAGUGUUUGGG
Molecule: ribosomal RNA, 784 nt
Filed under: uncultured Glomus
Lineage: Eukaryota; Fungi; Glomeromycota; Glomeromycetes; Glomerales; Glomeraceae
Description: SSU rRNA
Rfam family: Eukaryotic small subunit ribosomal RNA
Source: RNAcentral